Tribolium castaneum (red flour beetle) is the source of this 568-nucleotide long non-coding RNA. RefSeq lists it as uncharacterized. The transcript has 2 exons. The record is from RefSeq and is a predicted model, not a curated record. NCBI's taxonomy places the organism in Eukaryota, Metazoa, Arthropoda, Insecta, Coleoptera, Tenebrionidae.
CAGGGUUGGGAAAUUACGUGUAAUUAAUAUUAAUUACAUUUUAUACAUUACGUGUAGUUUUUGACGUAAUUAAUUGUAGUUAAUCGUAGAUAUAGAAUAACCUCUUUUUAACAAUUCUAACCUCAAAUUUUGCGGUACGUUACGCCGGCUCUUACGUCUUCCAAAAUGCCGGGAAGAAAUUUUCACAGUUUUUGGACGAUUGGAAAGUUUGAUAUAUUAAAACUGAAUGGAAAAGUUGCAGCACGUUGUCUUGUGUGUGAUAAAAUAUUAAAAAAUACUUCGAAACAACGACUGAUGUCGCAUAGAAAUGUCUGCAAGGAAGAAAAUACAUCCAAAGAAGUGGCCGAAGUGGGUGAAGAGGAUGAAAUCAUAUUGGUAGAAAUAGAAAGUAAGGCUGACGAUAACGAUGAAGAAGAGUCAAAUGAAGUUUCAGUGGAAGAUUCACCAAGUUGUAGCAAUGAACAAUUUAAUGAUCGUGUAAGUGCGGCAUCAACAUUAACAUUACCUACAUCAGAUUUAAACUAUGAUGAAAACAUUUGCAAUACUGAGAGUUCAAAUUUGACUUCAA